GCCUUUGUAGUGUAGCGAUAGCACACUCGGUUCGUAUUCGAGAGGUCCAGGUUUGAGUCCCGGUGAGCACA
Molecule: transfer RNA, 71 nt
Filed under: Stegodyphus mimosarum
Lineage: Eukaryota; Metazoa; Arthropoda; Arachnida; Araneae; Eresidae
Rfam family: tRNA
About the family: Transfer RNA (tRNA) molecules are approximately 80 nucleotides in length. Their secondary structure includes four short double-helical elements and three loops (D, anti-codon, and T loops).
Source: Rfam by way of RNAcentral